UUAAGUUCUUUACAGAUUUUGGAUACGAACCCUUUGAUAAGUCGCUGGCACAUAUCUUCUCCCAUUCUAUCGGUUGCCUUUAGUUUUGCUGUUUCCUUCGCUGUGCAGAAGCUUUUUAUUUUGAUGAGGCCCCAAUAGUGCAUUUUUCCUUUUGCCUCCUGAAAGGCAAUUUUUGAGGGAUCCUGUGGCCCAACAUAUCCCAGAGUGACAAGAACGGGGCCAGACUCCCUAGAUAAGCAUAGAGGAAAUGGCUCUGUGACAGUGUGCCUCUAAUGGACAACAGGGAGAACUGAGCUUGAAAAAGAGCAACAGGGUGGAGGAGAAUACACAGAAGUCCAAAGUUCUUUAUCAACAGGAGAGAAUGGGUUAUAACAAAAACUGAAGUUUCUAGCACAAUCUCCUGGCAAGAUGGUUGUCUCAGGAGUAAGAAUACUGUGUAGGCUAGGACAAAGGGAAACCUCCUGCAUUGUUCCUUCAGAAGGAGAGGGAAAGUUUCUGGCAUUGAAUUUUUUUUUCCCCUGACCUCUGAGGCAGUCAUGCUACACAGUUACCAGUUUCUGGCUUGUGGCUGACCCUCAAGUAUUUGGAAACGUGGCUCUGUUGCACUUGUCCUCAAAUGGGCUAUUUCUGCAUAUUCUUCAGGUCCUGAAGAAUACUGCAAAUGGGUGAACUGUCUGUGCUUCAGAUGAAGGCAUCUGUAGCAGCCAAUGGUUGGAGUUCUGCUAACUAUUACCACGACAACUCCAGGCUUUCAAGCACCAAGCCAUCAGUGACUGUGGCUCUGUGGAAGUAUUCCUUCAACAAGCAAUGCCCUGGCCACUUCUGGAAGCUAAAUGCCCAUCUGGGAACCAUUUGCUUUUCCAUAUGAAGACAUCUCAAGCAGCCACAGGAGACAGGCAACCACCAAUACCAAGCCCCACAAGGUCAGUCAUAGGUAGUUAAUCAUUAUUUGGGGAUAUCAGAAACUGAUUGCUCUAGGCUAGCAAUAGGAAUGCAGUGGGAGCCGGCCACCAAUCCCGGGCAUUCGCUGUGUGAGUGAAAGCCUUACCACAUUUCAAUGUGACUCAAGACCUCCUUAGAAAAACAGCUAGGGGAUCAGAGUGGAUACAUGAUGGGUCAAAGGUCUUCAUUUCUGCAGAGAAUAGGAUAAAACUGAGAGGAAACUGACGUGCCCUGUUGCUCUUCUGCCCACAGUUGAUGAUGCUUCUUCCCAAUUCUCUGGCUUUACCUAUAUACACCAACAUUUUGUCUGGCACCUUCAAGUGCCCUAUGUCUUUUUCUUGGCAAGCCCCAAGGGGCUUUUUGCCCAACCUAUGCCAGAGUCAGGAUGACUUGGCCAGUCUCCCCAAUUAAAAUGAGGGGACAUUGCUCUUAGGUCUGGCCUUGAAUUCCCCAUAGUGGGGACUUCAAAAAAAGCAAGGGGAUGGGAGUGGGUACCCAGAAAGCCAAAGAUCUUCAUUUCACCUGAGAAUAGGAUAAUUCUGGGAAGAAAGAGAAUAGCACAGUCUCCUACCAAGCUCGCUGUUUUCUGAAGGAACAAACACAUGUGGGCUGGGUAAAUGGGAAUCAUCCAUCUGCUUCAUGAGGGAGCAGAAGGAAAGCUGAGGGCCAAACACAAGCUAGCAUUACCUGACCACCCCCACAUAAGAUAUGUGUGACAUUCCUCAGGCACUCCUGGCUGCCCAAGGGCAAAGAAAAUGACAGAAAACAAAUGGAGACUCCAUCAAUGGACAAGUAUCUUAGUAAAUCACAAGAAAAAGGCAGAGGCAUUGUGAGACCCAAGGAAUUUAACAAAAACCCCCUACCCCUGGACAAGCAGAGCAAGACUAACUCCAUUUUGUGCUACACCCACCAUCUCAUGUAUAACCCCCACAUGACCUACUUAUUGCUUAAGACAAUCCCCCACCCUAGUCAAGCCGCUGAGCACACUCUUACUGGAAACCGGCUCAUACAGGAAUGCGGAACCCCUAACCGCCAAAGAAUGUAAACUCCGCCUUUUGCCCGCCAAACUUGCGUGCCAAUUCUGACCAGAGUGAUAGGCUAGUUCAAACAGUUACUAUAGAGUAAAUUGUAAUUCAUUUGGCCACCUGCGUGCGGACUGACAUGACUAUGCAACUUUCUGUGUGUGUUACAAUCUCAUUGGCCACUGGCCCCUAUAAAACUGCUACGCCUCUUAACCUAGGGGUCCAAGUCCCUGCUCCGCUGUGUCGGGUAUACUUGGGCCCAAGCUCGAGCUUGCAAAUAAACCCUCGUGCGUUUGCAUCGG
Neofelis nebulosa (Clouded leopard) is the source of this 2266-nucleotide long non-coding RNA. RefSeq lists it as uncharacterized. Lineage: Eukaryota; Metazoa; Chordata; Mammalia; Carnivora; Felidae. The transcript has 2 exons. The record is from RefSeq and is a predicted model, not a curated record.